RNAcentral lists this ribosomal RNA (253 nucleotides) under uncultured bacterium. RNAcentral describes it as "partial 16S ribosomal RNA". It matches the Rfam family "Bacterial small subunit ribosomal RNA", at positions 524 to 776 of the family's 1533-position model. The record is from RNAcentral.
UACAGAGGUCUCAAGCGUUGUUCGGAUUCAUUGGGCGUAAAGGGUGCGUAGGUGGCGCCGUAAGUCGGGUGUGAAAUUUCGGAGCUUAACUCCGAAACUGCAUUCGAUACUGCCGUGCUAGAGGACUGGAGAGGAGACUGGAAUUUACGGUGUAGCAGUGAAAUGCGUAGAGAUCGUAAGGAAGACCAGUGGCGAAGGCGGGUCUCUGGACAGUUCCUGACACUGAGGCACGAAGGCCAGGGGAGCAAACGGG